CCCCAUGCCCACAGCAGCGCUCUCCUUGCAGAGAUAACUCCCUUCGAUGCCGAGGACGACGCGUCCGAGGGGGAGCUGGAGAGCGCCCCGGAGCAGUGGUGGGUGCCUGGCCGGGAUGGGGGGAUGCGGGAGGGCAGGAGGGCGCAGGAUGAGCUGGGGGAUGCAGGAGGGCAGGAGGGACCAGGAUGAGCUCCCCAAGCGCGGCGCUCUCCCUGCAGGACAGGACAGCGGGUGCUCAGCUGGCUCUCACAGGGCUUCGAGAGGAUUCUGCCGCAGCCAGAGGGGAUGAAAAAGCCGGAGACAGAGCCGAAGGAGAAGAGUGAAGGCACGGUGGAAGGCACAGAAGGGACUAAAACCCAGGCGAAGUCGAAACCCAGCGCUGCAGGUGUUCCGAGUGCCCCAGGGGCAGCGAAGGCAGCGGCGGCCCAGGCCCGGCCGGAGCCAGGUGCUGCCCUGAGCCCUCAGCCCAUGGCUAUGGAUGGCACCAGGAUGUUCAGCUGGUUUGUCCAGGGGCUGGAGAAGGUGAUGCCACAGCCGGUGACCAGGGAGAAGCAGGACACACAGGGAGUGGCCACCGCAACCUCGAGUUCUGUGGAACAAAGGGGCAAAGGGGCUUAGCGCCUCUGAAACAAAUGGAAAACGAAGACCGUGGCAAAACCAGCCCUUCCCACACCCCAAAGAGACCAGCCUGAGGAGAAAGCACAGCUGGGGAGGAAAAGCAAAGGGGAAUCUGCAAAUGGUGUCCAGCUCCUUCCCAGCUGGGGCAGUGGGGACCCAAGGCUGGCACAGGGACCCAGCCCCAGGGCUGCCCCACUUGGCUCCCUCUUUGCUCUGGGAAUUGGAGCUGCUGCUUUUGCAGGAUGGCGUCUGUGAGAUGGGAGCUAUAAUUUACAGGAUGGUAGAAAAGCAUCACUCAGGACACCUCAGAGGCAGAAAGCCUCUUGCUGCAGUCUCCCAGCACUCCUGGCCCUCUCAAUGCCCCCACAACAUCUGAAUAUUCACCCCAAGACCCCCAGCUGAAAUCUCCAGGCUUCUUUGAGUCAACUUCUGCCUCUGGGGUGUAAUGUUAUAAACCUCUUGAAGCUCUUGUCAUGUCCUUGUUGCUUUUCUUCCAUAACUGAGUGUUUCCUCCCAGCAAGUGGAAAGGGCUCUGAUUUGCAGCAGCAAAUCAGGAGGGUGAGGUUAAUCUCCAGGUGAAUAGGUUGGAGUUAAUGGUUAAACAUAUUUGCCCAGGCUUUUCUUCUGAGAGAACUUACCCCAAACUCUCCUUACCCCCAGCUAUGGCUGCUCCCUCCUGAAGCUGAGAGCUUCAGCACUACCUGCAGCAGCAGGAAUGUCCCAGCAGGGAGGGGGUUCCAGGGGCUGUCUCCAGCCCAGAGGCUGCAGGCAGGCAUGGGGGGUGGGAGCCCCUACACCCCAGGUUUUGGAUACAGACCUUGGAGCAGCAGACUGGUUUGGGUUGUGAGUGACCUUUGAAGAUGAUCUGGUCCAGCUUCCCUGUCCAUUAGACAAGGUUGCUGCAGGCCCUGUCCAACCUGGCCUUGAACACUUGCAGGAUGGGCCAGCCACAGUACACUAUUCCUUCCUUAUGUCCAAUAUGAAUGUCCUUCUUUCAGUU
This 1618-nucleotide long non-coding RNA is filed under the name Zonotrichia albicollis (white-throated sparrow). RNAcentral's name for it is "lncRNA (ENSZALG00000013348.1)". Lineage: Eukaryota; Metazoa; Chordata; Aves; Passeriformes; Passerellidae. The record is from RNAcentral.